UACGGGGGGGGCAAGCGUUGUUCGGAAUUACUGGGCGUAAAGGGCUCGUAGGUGGCCAACUAAGUCAGACGUGAAAUCCCUCGGCUUAACCGGGGAACUGCGUCUGAUACUGGAUGGCUAGAGUUUGGGAGAGGGAUGCGGAAUUCCUGGUGUAGCGGUGAAAUGCGCAGAUAUCGAGAGGAACACCUGCGGCGAAGGCGGGUUGCUGGGCUGAUACUGACGCUGAGGCGCGAAAGCCAGGGGAGCGAACGGG
RNAcentral lists this ribosomal RNA (253 nucleotides) under uncultured bacterium. Its description in RNAcentral is "partial 16S ribosomal RNA". It matches the Rfam family "Bacterial small subunit ribosomal RNA", at positions 524 to 776 of the family's 1533-position model. The record is from RNAcentral.